RNAcentral lists this ribosomal RNA (510 nucleotides) under uncultured bacterium. RNAcentral's name for it is "partial 16S ribosomal RNA". It matches the Rfam family "Bacterial small subunit ribosomal RNA", at positions 28 to 507 of the family's 1533-position model. The record is from RNAcentral.
GACGAACGCUGGCGGCGUGCUUAACACAUGCAAGUCGAACGAAGAGCGAUGGAAGUUUGCUUCCUUCAAUUUUAGUGGCGAACGGGUGUGUCACGUGGAAUCAACCUGUAUUUCAGAGGGAGACAACCGUUGGAAACGACUUCUAAUCCCGCAUACUUUUUAACCUCGUCAUCGAAGAUAGAUGGAAGGUGGUCUCUACAUGUAUGCAUUCACUGACGGUGGGGAUUGCGGUUGAUUAGCUAGCGGGAGGGGUAACGGCCCACCCAAGCGAUGAGAAGUAGCCGCGCUGAGAGGAUGUACGGCGACACUCGGACUGAGACACAGCCCACACACCUACAGGAGACAGCGGAGGAGAAUCUUCCGCAAUGGACGAGAGUGUGACGGGGCGACGCCGCGCGAGUGAUGACGGGGUUCGCGUUGCGAAGCUCUGUUAUUCGAGACGAAAAGCCUUCUUGCGAAAAGUGAGAAGGAUUGACGGUACCGGAAUAGAAAGCCACGGCUAACUACGUG